Long non-coding RNA from Humulus lupulus (European hop), 478 nucleotides. RefSeq lists it as uncharacterized. The transcript has 4 exons. Lineage: Eukaryota; Viridiplantae; Streptophyta; Magnoliopsida; Rosales; Cannabaceae. The record is from RefSeq and is a predicted model, not a curated record.
UAUGUUUUUUUUUUUUUCUGCAAGUGUUUAAAAUAUUUUUUUAUGUCCUACAUUUGUUUUUUUUUUUUUCAAAUAUAGGGAUAUUAUAGUUGAUUGUGGUUAUAGUUUUCUACGACGGUGCGACUUUCGUUACCUUGGACCUAAUAUUGAAUUGGAGACAGAGAAAAACUUAUUGCCCGACCCACACUUACCACUAUAUCAAAGUUGGAAGAGAAUGCAUUACUACGAAAGAUUUAUGGGUUCCCUUGACCAUUGUAAUGAAAUAUAUAUUCCCAUUUUCAUCAUGAAAUACUACAUGCUUGCUCGAGUAAUUAUAAAAAAAAGAAAAGUUAAAGUUUGGGACUCACUUGCUCAUGAAAAGUCUCCUAUAUUACAAUCAUUUAAGAUUGUCGAGAUUUUACGCAAUCUUGAUUUGGGCUUGGAGAAUCAAAUAAAAAAUACCCCUUGUAAUUUCAAUUUUGCUAGCUUUUGCAUUGUU